GAGAAAGAAAGUGUGUGAGUGUGAAGGAGAGAAGCAGCAGCGCAGUGACUGACCUGUUGGAGACACUCACUGAGCACAGACCUGGGGGAACAGGACAGCACCGAGGGACA
This is a long non-coding RNA of Callorhinchus milii (elephant shark), 110 nucleotides long. RefSeq lists it as uncharacterized. The record is from RefSeq and is a predicted model, not a curated record. NCBI's taxonomy places the organism in Eukaryota, Metazoa, Chordata, Chondrichthyes, Chimaeriformes, Callorhinchidae. The transcript has 2 exons.